CAAUAGCGUAUAUUAAUGUUGUUGCAGUUAAAAAGCUCGUAGUUGGAUUUCUGGUGGGAGCGGCCGGUCCGCCGUAAGGUGUGUACUUGGUUGUCUCCUGUCAUCCUUGUGGGAACUGCUCUGGCAUUAAGUUGUCGGGGUUAGGGAACACAUCGUUUACUGUGAAAAAAUUAGAGUGUUUAAAGCAGGCUUAUGCCGUUGAAUACAUUAGCAUGGAAUAAUAAGAUAGGACUUUGGCGUCUAUUUUGUUGGUUUGCACACCAAGGUAAUGAUUAAUAGGGAUAGUUGGGGGUAUUCGUAUUUAAUUGUCAGAGGUGAAAUUCUUGGAUUUAUGAAAGACGAACUUCUGCGAAAGCAUUUACCAAGGAUGUUUUCAUUA
RNAcentral lists this ribosomal RNA (379 nucleotides) under uncultured eukaryote. RNAcentral describes it as "partial 18S ribosomal RNA". It matches the Rfam family "Eukaryotic small subunit ribosomal RNA", at positions 592 to 975 of the family's 1831-position model. The record is from RNAcentral.